Molecule: ribosomal RNA, 439 nt
Filed under: uncultured bacterium
Lineage: Bacteria
Description: partial 16S ribosomal RNA
Rfam family: Bacterial small subunit ribosomal RNA
Source: RNAcentral
CUACGGGAGGCUCCAGUGAGGAAUAUUGCACAAUGGGGGAAACCCUGAUGCAGCAACGCCGCGUGGAGGAUGACGCAUUUCGGUGUGUAAACUCCUUUUAUCAGAGAAGAAAAUGACGGUAUCUGAUGAAUAAGCUCCGGCUAACUCCGUGCCGGCAGCCGCGGUAAUACAGAGGGAGCAAGCGUUAUUCGGAAUCACUGGGCGUAAAGGACGCGUAGGCGGGUUUUUAAGUCAGGUGUGAAAUCCUAUGGCUCAACCAUAGAACUGCACUUGAAACUGGGGACCUAGAGUAUGGAAGGGGCAGGUGGAAUUAGUGGUGUAGGGGUAAAAUCCGUAGAUAUCACUAGGAAUACCGAAAGCGAAGGCGACCUGCUGGGACAUUACUGACGCUGAGGCGUGAAAGCGUGGGGAGCAAACAGGAUUAGAUACCCGUGUAGUC